Molecule: ribosomal RNA, 253 nt
Filed under: uncultured bacterium
Lineage: Bacteria
Description: partial 16S ribosomal RNA
Rfam family: Bacterial small subunit ribosomal RNA
Source: RNAcentral
UACGUAGGGGUCGAGCGUUGUCCGGAGUUACUGGGCGUAAAGCGUGCGCAGGCGGCUCAUCGCGCUCGGCGUGAAAGCCCCCGGCUCAACCGGGGAGGGUCGUCGAGGACGGGUGAGCUUGAGGGUAUCAGGGGUUGGUGGAAUUCCCGGUGUAGUGGUGAAAUGCGUAGAUAUUGGGAAGAACACCGGUGGCGAAGGCGGCUCACUGGCUCGUAUCUGACGCUCAGGCGCGACAGCGUGGGGAUCAAACAGG